RNAcentral lists this ribosomal RNA (432 nucleotides) under uncultured bacterium. RNAcentral's name for it is "partial 16S ribosomal RNA". It matches the Rfam family "Bacterial small subunit ribosomal RNA", at positions 29 to 506 of the family's 1533-position model. The record is from RNAcentral.
AACGAACGCUGGCGGCAGGCCUAACACAUGCAAGUCGAGCGCGCCCUUCGGGGUGAGCGGCGGACGGGUGAGUAACGCGUGGGAACGUGCCCUUUUCUACGGAAUAGCCUCGGGAAACUGAGAGUAAUACCGUAUACGCCCUUUGGGGGAAAGAUUUAUCGGAAAAGGAUCGGCCCGCGUUGGAUUAGGUAGUUGGUGGGGUAAUGGCCUACCAAGCCGACGAUCCAUAGCUGGUUUGAGAGGAUGAUCAGCCACACUGGGACUGAGACACGGCCCAGACUCCUACGGGAGGCAGCAGUGGGGAAUCUUAGACAAUGGGGACAACCCUGAUCUAGCCAUGCCGCGUGAGUGAUGAAGGCCUUAGGGUUGUAAAGCUCUUUCAGCUGGGAAGAUAAUGACGGUACCAGCAGAAGAAACCCCGGCUAACUCCGU